GUUGAUCUUCACUUAACAUCUCAGAGGGAGAUUUAUUUUAGAAUGUUUCCUAAAUGUUUAUCCUUUUUUAAACUAUCGCUGACAUUUGUUUGAAAUGGAUGAUCCUAAAGCUUUUGUGUAUUCUUUUUUUCUUGGACUAAACUAUUAUUUGCAGGGGGAGAGGGGCAAGAAAGGCUCUAGAGGGUCUAAAGGGGAUAAGGGAGACCAAGGAGCACCUGGAUUAGAUGCACCCUGUCCGUUGGGGGAAGAUGGCCUUCCAGUUCAAGGCUGCUGGAAUAAGUGAUGAUUCUAACCCUGGACUGACCUGUGUGUGUUACUGUACAUAGAAUAUUUAUUUUUAUACGGUGUUCUUCUCUGAAAUGCCAAAAGUUAUGCAUUUUUACAAAUUAUCAGAAAGUGGCAUAUUUUUUUGUACAGAAAAUAUUAGAUCUCCCUUUUUUCCCGUUUGUCAGUUCUCAGUAUGAUUCCAUGUCUGCAUUACGCUUGUUUUUUUUCAUGGAGUACAGCUGUAAUAUUUACAUGGUAUUUGUGCACACAUGAUGAAUAUAGGAACUUAAUAAAUUAUUGCAUUAAAAGUGCCCAAAGGAACUGCCCUGUAUAGAUUUAAAGGUCAUUUUCAUUUUUCAAGCUGGAUCAUUCAAGAAUAUUUCAAAAUAUUAUGUAUUUUUUAUUAAAGUGAAAUAUUAACACUUCUGUUGUGAUGAAUUAAAGUGUUGCUGAAAAACCUCAUAGUAGCACUGGGAAUGUAGAGACACCAUGAUUUAUAACUAUCCUCCCAUGACCUGGAAUAACCCUCAUGAAAACGAGCCCUGGUUGGCAAGAAAUUCUAAUCCCUUGCUAAAUGGUCAGCCUUCAAGCAGCUUAAUUAAAGCCUUAUUUAAAAUUAAGCAUAAUGCAGCAUACCUUGAUAUCCGAACAAACGUGUGUUUGUGAAAUCAAUCCACGUGGCUUUCUAAAAUGUUAACCAAAGGUCGCAUGCAAAUUUGCGGAGUGUGUAAUUAUCAUUUGCAUAUGCACAUCUUAAUUAUCCUUCCUGACCUACCUUUGUUGAUGUCUCAACUCUGGGUAGUUUAGAGAGGAAAACAUUACCAGACUAAAGUGAAUGUAACAGUGUGCUUUCCUUAGAAAAUGAAGGGAAAAGUGGAAGCCUAAAUCUAUUCCCUAAAAGA
Non-coding RNA from Sturnus vulgaris (Common starling), 1169 nucleotides. The record is from RefSeq and is a predicted model, not a curated record. Lineage: Eukaryota; Metazoa; Chordata; Aves; Passeriformes; Sturnidae.